Molecule: ribosomal RNA, 326 nt
Filed under: uncultured Oscillospiraceae bacterium
Lineage: Bacteria; Bacillati; Bacillota; Clostridia; Eubacteriales; Oscillospiraceae
Description: bacterial SSU rRNA
Rfam family: Bacterial small subunit ribosomal RNA
Source: RNAcentral
GACGAACGCUGGCGGCGUGCUUAACACAUGCAAGUCGAACGGGGUUGAUUGAAAGCUUGCUUUUGAGAGACCUAGUGGCAAACGGGUGAGUAACGCGUAGGCAACCUGCCUUUGGGAUGGGGACAACAGGACGAAAGCCCUGCUAAUACCGAAUGACGUAUACUGGUCGCAUGACCGGGAUACCAAAGGCCGGGCAACCGGUCACUGAAGGAUGGGCCUGCGUCUGAUUAGCUAGUUGGUGGGGUAAGGGCCCACCAAGGCGACGAUCAGUAGCCGGUCUGAGAGGAUGAACGGCCACAUUGGGACUGAGACACGGCCCAAACUCC